UACGGAGGGUGCAAGCGUUAUCCGGAUUCACUGGGUUUAAAGGGUGCGUAGGUGGGCUGGUAAGUCAGUGGUGAAAUCUCCGAGCUUAACUCGGAAACUGCCAUUGAUACUAUCAAUCUUGAAUCAUCUGGAGGUAAGCGGAAUAUGUCAUGUAGCGGUGAAAUGCUUAGAUAUGACAUAGAACACCAAUUGCGAAGGCAGCUUACUACGGGUGUAUUGACACUGAGGCACGAAAGCGUGGGGAUCAAACAGG
Molecule: ribosomal RNA, 253 nt
Filed under: uncultured bacterium
Lineage: Bacteria
Description: partial 16S ribosomal RNA
Rfam family: Bacterial small subunit ribosomal RNA
Source: RNAcentral